GACGAACGCUGGCGGCGUGCCUAAUACAUGCAAGUAGAACGCUGAAGAGAGGAGCUUGCUCUUCUUGGAUGAGUUGCGAACGGGUGAGUAACGCGUAGGUAACCUGCCUGGUAGCGGGGGAUAACUAUUGGAAACGAUAGCUAAUACCGCAUGAUAUUAAUUGUCGCAUGAUAAUUAAUUGAAAGAUGCAAUUGCAUCACUACCAGAUGGACCUGCGUUGUAUUAGCUAGUCGGUGAGGUAACGGCUCACCAAGGCGACGAUACAUAGCCGACCUGAGAGGGUGAUCGGCCACACUGGGACUGAGACACGGCCCAGACUCCUACGGGAGGCAGCAGUAGGGAAUCUUCGGCAAUGGGGGGAACCCUGACCGAGCAACGCCGCGUGAGUGAAGAAGGUUUUCGGAUCGUAAAGCUCUGUUGUAAGAGAAGAACGGGUGUGAGAGUGGAAAGUUCACACUGUGAC
This 463-nucleotide ribosomal RNA is filed under the name Streptococcus sanguinis. RNAcentral's name for it is "bacterial SSU rRNA". It matches the Rfam family "Bacterial small subunit ribosomal RNA", at positions 28 to 473 of the family's 1533-position model. The record is from RNAcentral. Lineage: Bacteria; Bacillati; Bacillota; Bacilli; Lactobacillales; Streptococcaceae.